Molecule: long non-coding RNA, 838 nt
Organism: Ceratina calcarata
Lineage: Eukaryota; Metazoa; Arthropoda; Insecta; Hymenoptera; Apidae
Exons: 2
Source: RefSeq, a predicted model, not a curated record
GUGAUUUUAAACAAUAUUUCAUUUUCCUAAAAUGCUGUUUACGUCGUGGUUUCUGAAUUUUUAACAAAAAACAUUGACCAAUGACAGCGUCCGUAGAGCGCGCGCUCAGGGACGCAGCUACUACUUUCGAUGGUGCCGUGACCCCAAACUAAAAUCUCACAAAUCUUUCGAUCGCUCGAUAAUAUUAUCAGAGAUGAAAAGGGAGAUUGCUCAUUUCUUUGUUCGAAAGUGGACACGGCUCACUACCGCACCCUAGUGUCAAUGUCCAUUAUUUAAGGGGAAAUAGACGUAGUUUAGAAGGGAUUGUGCACUACUCCCCUCCAGAAGUGGACACGCCGAAGAGAGCUGAAAAUAUACGUAUAAGAUUUGCCAUGCUCGUGCCUAGGGUAUUCGUCUACAAGCGCUCCAUCUCGCGGCCGGCUUCGUGCAUCUCCUAAAAGAAGGGGCGCGUGUCGAGUGACGCAGUACGUGCGUGUGUGCGUGCUGACUGUCAGGCAAGCGAAUUCUAAAUUCACUCCUCGAGGCUCGGAAUCUUCGACGCUUCGAGACUCGGAGUCUUCGAGGCUCCGUGUGUUCGAAACCCAGACAAUCCACUCUUUUUUUCUUUGUUGUUUAUUCAUCUGAAAAAAUUCCAACACGUCCGUAGCAUAACUGGACACAUCUGAGAAUUAUUUCAGAUUUUUUUGUUACAAAAUGUAACCGUGAAAAAUAAGAAGAUUUUUAGGUUUGGUGCGUCAAUGCGAAAAAAAUCAAAAACUAUGUACGUCUCAUGUUGAAGUACGUAAAUGAAAGACGCGCUUCCAGCAGCGGCAACAGCGAAGGGGUGAUGACACGAGGU